Molecule: long non-coding RNA, 562 nt
Filed under: Homo sapiens (human)
Lineage: Eukaryota; Metazoa; Chordata; Mammalia; Primates; Hominidae
Description: HSALNT0141981
Source: RNAcentral
GUGGUUUGCCUCUUAACAGCCAUAUGAUUUUUUCUCAGUUACAACUAAAAGAAGAGAAGCAGCAUCUGUGUGCUUUGCGAAUUUGUGAAAUGUUGACUUUAAGGGAUAAGAAGAUUUUAGUCAUGUCAGUAUAUUGAGUUGACUGAAUAAAAAAUAUGAUAUUUAUCUGGAUGUUUCACCUUUACUGGGUUAUAUGCCCUUAAUGGCUUUGGUCUUUGCUUUUUGUUUUGUUUUAACUAAUGCAAUAGUAUUAGAGAGAGAGAGAGAGUCAGAGAAAGAGAGAAAAUGAGAUAGAGACAGUGAUGGAGAAUCUAAGUUUGUGGAGAGGUUGUGUGAGACUUUGUUUUUCUAAAGCCAUAACUAGAGUUGGAUGUCGGGAGUAGAAUCAAAUAUUGUAAUAUGUCCUUCUUGAUCCUGAUAACGAUGGGAAGCAAAUAAUUGAGGGAUGUGAGAAGAAAAUUAGAAAAAGUCAAGGUUCUCAAUAAACAGAAAACUUUUGUGAAAUCUUAACAGUUAUAUUUCUUUCAAAAAAUUAAACCUUAAGUAUACAUUCAUGUGGUAU